AAAAGCUUGCAGCCAACGAUGCAACACAGCAGCUAUCCUGUGGUGGUCUGGGAAGCAAUUUGGAACAAUGGUUGAUCAGAACUAGUGGAGUGUGAGGGAAACAUAAACUCAGAUAAAUAUGUGUCCAUAGUGCAGAAAGGCUUCUUUCAAAUUGAUCGGAA
Molecule: long non-coding RNA, 161 nt
Organism: Octopus sinensis (East Asian common octopus)
Lineage: Eukaryota; Metazoa; Mollusca; Cephalopoda; Octopoda; Octopodidae
Exons: 3
Source: RefSeq, a predicted model, not a curated record